UAUCUCUAGAAAAAAGCUCGAUAUUUAGCUGUCAGACUAGCGGUGCCAAGCACGAAGCUCGGUCAGCUGGCCAUAUGUCUGAGCUCAAUAUUACUUGUGAUCGGUGAGAGUGUAAACAAAAAACUGAUCGUCAGCUGUUGGAAGCCGAAAAUAAACACACACUAAAAGUAUCAAAAAUAAAAGCAAUAAGAAAUUCUAAUUAUCAGCUGUCGAAUACGGAAAACGCCGCCGCUGACAAUGCCGCGUUAGCUGCUGACCUUGAAUUGAACGGAAUAAUAUAAUCUCCAUACCGCAUAGCACGCAUGCUCUAUAUCGCUCUAUCUCACUCCCACCUGCCACAUGAUGCGAUUGCGUGGAAGGCGCCAGCUGGGGGGUGCUUGACGCGUGACACGCACACCACUAGCAGAGCUUUUGCGAUGAGCGCUUUAACGAAUAAAAGCAACAGCAACAACAGAUUAAAGAAAAAAGUUCUCUUUCAGUGAAAGUGAUUUUAGCAAUUUCCAAAAGGCUAUUGGACUCUGCCCUUGAACCUGCUUACGAAGGACAUAGUCACAGUUUGUAUGGCUGCGUGUCCUUGAUUUGUGACAAGCGAAAAUGCAAAUCGGAGAAAUGACGUGCAUAUCGACUUUCAAAAGCGCCAAUAAUACCCCUUGAAACAUUUGAAUUGUCCACAAUGGAAAUGUCGAUCCCUUCUCGCGAAUUGAUGACAAUGCGAUGCGUUUCGAAGGGCUGUAAAAAUGGUAUGCAAUUUGUUAGAAAAUAUCUGUAUAAAUGAAGAAAAUAUUUCAUUUAAAUACCGCAAUUAAUAAAGGAUCAGAAUAAGUUUUAGCAAUGGA
This is a long non-coding RNA of Drosophila mojavensis, 836 nucleotides long. RefSeq lists it as uncharacterized. The record is from RefSeq and is a predicted model, not a curated record. Lineage: Eukaryota; Metazoa; Arthropoda; Insecta; Diptera; Drosophilidae. The transcript is spliced from 2 exons.